GGGUUGUGAGGUUAAGCGACCAAGCGUACACGGUGGAUGCCCUGGCAGUCAGAGGCGAUGAAGGACGUGCUAAUCUGCGAUAAGCGCCGGUAAGGUGAUAUGAACCGUUAUAACCGGCGAUUUCCGAAUGGGGAAACCCAGUGUGACUCGUCACACUAUCAUUAACUGAAUCCAUAGGUUAAUGAGGCGAACCGGGGGAACUGAAACAUCUAAGUACCCCGAGGAAAAGAAAUCAACCGAGAUUCCCCCAGUAGCGGCGAGCGAACGGGGAGGAGCCCAGAGCCUGAAUCAGCAUGUGUGUUAGUGGAAGCGUCUGGAAAGGCGCGCGAUACAGGGUGACAGCCCCGUACACAAAAGCGCAUGUGCUGUGAGCUCGAUGAGUAGGGCGGGACACGUGGUAUCCUGUCUGAAUAUGGGGGGACCAUCCUCCAAGGCUAAAUACUCCUGACUGACCGAUAGUGAACCAGUACCGUGAGGGAAAGGCGAAAAGAACCCCGGCGAGGGGAGUGAAAAAGAACCUGAAACCGUGUACGUACAAGCAGUGGGAGCCCCACCACUAAGCCAGUGGUGAACUCCACAUACGCAUCCUUUGCUGAGGAUACGGUUAACGGAGCGAAAGCGACGUUCAACCGCAAAAGAAGCAGAGGGGGCUUAGUGGUGGGGUGACUGCGUACCUUUUGUAUAAUGGGUCAGCGACUUAUAUUCUGUAGCAAGGUUAACCGUAUAGGGGAGCCGCAGGGAAACCGAGUCUUAACCGGGCGUUAAGUUGCAGGGUAUAGACCCGAAACCCGGUGAUCUAGCCAUGGGCAGGUUGAAGGUUGGGUAACACUAACUGGAGGACCGAACCGACUAAUGUUGAAAAAUUAGC
Molecule: ribosomal RNA, 868 nt
Filed under: Salmonella enterica subsp. enterica serovar Agama
Lineage: Bacteria; Pseudomonadati; Pseudomonadota; Gammaproteobacteria; Enterobacterales; Enterobacteriaceae
Description: partial 23S ribosomal RNA
Rfam family: Bacterial large subunit ribosomal RNA
Source: RNAcentral